UACGUAGGUGGCAAGCGUUAUCCGGAAUUACUGGGCGUAAAGCGCACGCAGGCGGCGCAGCAAGUUCGACGUGAAAGCUCCCGGCUUAACUGGGAGAGGUCGUUGAAGACUGCUGUGCUUGAGGCAAUGAGAGGGGUGUAGAAUUCCCGGUGUAGUGGUGGAAUGCGUAGAUAUCGGGGGGAAUACCAGUGGCGAAAGCGGCACCCUAGCAUUAGCCUGACGCUCAUGUGCGAAAGCGUGGGGAGCGAACGGGAUUAGAUACCCCGGUAGUCCACGCUGUAAACGAUGAACACUAGGUGUAGGUGAUGUGAAAGUUAUCUGUGCCGAAGCAAACGCGUUAAGUGUUCCGCCUGGGGAGUACGGCCGCAAGGCUAAA
This 376-nucleotide ribosomal RNA is filed under the name uncultured bacterium. RNAcentral describes it as "bacterial SSU rRNA". It matches the Rfam family "Bacterial small subunit ribosomal RNA", at positions 524 to 898 of the family's 1533-position model. The record is from RNAcentral.